RNAcentral lists this ribosomal RNA (253 nucleotides) under uncultured bacterium. RNAcentral's name for it is "partial 16S ribosomal RNA". It matches the Rfam family "Bacterial small subunit ribosomal RNA", at positions 524 to 776 of the family's 1533-position model. The record is from RNAcentral.
UACGGAGGAGGCAAGCGUUAUCCGGAAUUACUGGGCGUAAAGCGUGCGCAGGCGGUUUUGUAAGUCAGAUGUGAAAUCCCCGGGCUUAACCUGGGAACUGCGUUUGAAACUACAAGGCUAGAGUGUGGCAGAGGGGGGUGGAAUUCCACGUGUAGCAGUGAAAUGCGUAGAGAUGUGGAGGAACACCGAUGGCGAAGGCAGCCCCCUGGGUUAACACUGACGCUCAGGCACGAAAGCGUGGGGAGCAAACAGG